This 747-nucleotide long non-coding RNA is filed under the name Jatropha curcas. RNAcentral's name for it is "long non-coding RNA (JCUR_LNC001347)". The record is from RNAcentral. Lineage: Eukaryota; Viridiplantae; Streptophyta; Magnoliopsida; Malpighiales; Euphorbiaceae.
UUUGAGGUGGUUAGUCAAGAAGUAAUAAAGCAUCUACAGCUUUAAUCUCAUUUUCUCUUCCUGCUACUUUUUUUUUUAAUAUCUUUUCCCAACAAGGAGGGGACCAACGAGAUAAUGACUCAACUGCUACAGGGAUCCCAUAAACCAGACUUGAAUUUUGAAAAUCAUGAAUCAUCGACAGAGCUUAAUUAACCAAGAAGAGGUCCAACUGUUGUGUUUGCUGAAACAGCCAUACAUUCCUAGCUUUCCAAAUACUCCAGGCCGUUGAGACAACGAUUUCCAAUUGCUCUGACUGAAAGGAGUUAAUAAGAUUAAAAAACCAAAUUUUGAAGGACAGCUCAGACAAAUUUAUUUCUAACCAAAGAGGGCUUAACAACCAUACUAUUUGGGCCACUGUGUAAUGUAAGAGAAUGUGCGCAGUAUUUUCAUCAGACUCGCCAUAUCUUCUGCAAAUAGGAUCAACAGGGAUUGUUCUUCUAAUAAGGGCCAAUUUGAUUGGGAGCUGGUCAGAGCACGCCCAUAUUUUUGGAUAACUUAUUCUCUCAAGAGGGACUGUUUUUCUAAUAAGGCCAACUUUUCCUUUGUAAUUACGUUUUCUCAAAGUCUAUAUUUUUGGAUAACUUAUUCUUUUUGCCAUUAUUUUUUGUUAUUAUUUUAAUAACAGUCAAAUCUAAAUUUUUUUUAUCAUGGAAAAUUUUUAGUAACAAAAUACUUAUCAUUUUUAUUCCUAAAAUAUCCUCAUCUUUC